Molecule: ribosomal RNA, 1322 nt
Filed under: uncultured marine eukaryote
Lineage: Eukaryota
Description: SSU rRNA
Rfam family: Eukaryotic small subunit ribosomal RNA
Source: RNAcentral
GAGGAGCAGGCGCGCAAUUACCCAAUCCUGACUCAGGGAGGUAGUGACAAGAAAUAACAAUAAACCGGCUUAUGCCGGUUUAAUUGGAAUGAGUACAAUUUAAACAUCUUAACGAGGAACAAUUGGAGGGCAAGUCUGGUGCCAGCAGCCGCGGUAAUUCCAGCUCCAAUAGCGUAUACUAAAGUUGUUGCAGUUAAAAAGCUCGUAGUUGGAUUUCUGUGGGGACGGAGCGGCCGGCCGCACAUCGCGGUUCGAGCUAGCGCUUUCCCUACAUCCUGCCGCGAACCGUGCUACCAUUAGUUUGGUGGCGCCGGGGAUCGGCUCGAUUACUUUGAGAAAAAUAGAGUGUUCAAAGCAGGCCACAUGCCUUGAAUAAGUUAGCAUGGAAUAAUAACUAAGGACUUCGGUUCUAUUUUGUUGGUGUUCGGGACUGAAGUAAUGAUUGAUAGGGACAGUUGGGGCGGUCUGUAUUCCAAAGCGAGAGGUGAAAUUCUUAGACCUUCGGAAGACAAACAGCUGCGAAAGCGUUCCGCAAGGAUGUUCCCUUUGAUCAAGAACGAAGGUUGGGGGAUCGAAGACGAUCAGAUACCGUCGUAGUCUCAACUAUAAACUAUACCAGCUAGGGAUCGGCCAACGUUAUUUUAUACCGACUUGGUCGGCACCUUAUGAGAAAUCAAAGCAUCUGGGUUCCGGGGGGAGUAUGGUCGCAAGGCUGAAACUUAAAGGAAUUGACGGAAGGGCACCACCAGCCGUGGAGCCUGUGGCUUAAUUUGGCUCAACACGGGAAAACUUACCAGGUCCAGACAUAGUAAGGAUUGACAGAUUGAUAGCUCUUUCUUGAUUCUGUGGGUGGUGGUGCAUGGCCGUUCUUAGUUGGUGGAGUGAUUUGUCUGGUUAAUUCCGUUAACGAACGAGACCCCAGCCUGCUAAAUAGCGCGCGUGAGCUUUGCUCGCGGCGAGCUUCUUAGAGGGACCAUGAUGCGCGAUAGCACAUGGAAGUUUGGGGCAAUAACAGGUCUGUGAUGCCCUUAGAUGUUCUGGGCCGCACACGGGCUACACUGGCGCCUGCAACGAGCAUAUCAGCUGGCCCGAGAGGGUCUUGGCUAAUCUUUUGAACCGGCGCCGUGCUUGGGAUUGACCUUUGCAAUUGUUGGUCAUGCAACGAGGAAUGCCUUGUAAACGCGAGUCAUCAGCUCGCAUUGAAUACGACCCUGCCCUUUGUACACACCGCCCGUCGCUCCUACCGAUGAAUGUUCCGAUGAAAUUUUCGGAGAGCACCUGUGAACUUGGCUCUGCCUUGCGAACGGGAGGCUCAAAGUCAC